RNAcentral lists this ribosomal RNA (497 nucleotides) under uncultured bacterium. Its description in RNAcentral is "partial 16S ribosomal RNA". It matches the Rfam family "Bacterial small subunit ribosomal RNA", at positions 28 to 507 of the family's 1533-position model. The record is from RNAcentral.
GACGAACGCUGGCGGCGUGCCUAAUACAUGCAAGUUGAGCGCUGAAGGUUGGUACUUGUACCAACUGGAUGAGCAGCGAACGGGUGAGUAACGCGUGGGGAAUCUGCCUUUUAGCGGGGGACAACAUUUGGAAACGAAUGCUAAUACCGCAUAAAAACUUUAAACACAAGUUUUAAGUUUGAAAGAUGCAAUUGCAUCACUCAAAGAUGAUCCCGCGUUGUAUUAGCUAGUUGGUGAGGUAAAGGCUCACCAAGGCGAUGAUACAUAGCCGACCUGAGAGGGUGGUCGGCCAAAAUGGGACUGAGACACGGCCCAAAAUCCCACGGGAGGCAGCAGUAGGGAAUCUUCGGAAAUGGACGAAAGUCUGAACGAGCACAGCCGCGUGAGUGAAGAAGGUUUUCGGAUCGUAAAACUCUGUUGGUAGAGAAGAAAGUUGGUGAGAGUGGAAAGCUCAUCAAGUGACGGUAACUAACCAGAAAGGAACGGCUAACUACGUG